This 1454-nucleotide ribosomal RNA is filed under the name Streptococcus salivarius. RNAcentral describes it as "bacterial SSU rRNA". It matches the Rfam family "Bacterial small subunit ribosomal RNA". The record is from RNAcentral. Lineage: Bacteria; Bacillati; Bacillota; Bacilli; Lactobacillales; Streptococcaceae.
GGCGGUGGGGCGGCUAUACAUGCAAGUAGAACGCUGAAGAGAGGAGCUUGCUCUUCUUGGAUGAGUUGCGAACGGGUGAGUAACGCGUAGGUAACCUGCCUUGUAGCGGGGGAUAACUAUUGGAAACGAUAGCUAAUACCGCAUAACAAUGGAUGACACAUGUCAUUUAUUUGAAAGGGGCAAUUGCUCCACUACAAGAUGGACCUGCGUUGUAUUAGCUAGUAGGUGAGGUAACGGCUCACCUAGGCGACGAUACAUAGCCGACCUGAGAGGGUGAUCGGCCACACUGGGACUGAGACACGGCCCAGACUCCUACGGGAGGCAGCAGUAGGGAAUCUUCGGCAAUGGGGGCAACCCUGACCGAGCAACGCCGCGUGAGUGAAGAAGGUUUUCGGAUCGUAAAGCUCUGUUGUAAGUCAAGAACGAGUGUGAGAGUGGAAAGUUCACACUGUGACGGUAGCUUACCAGAAAGGGACGGCUAACUACGUGCCAGCAGCCGCGGUAAUACGUAGGUCCCGAGCGUUGUCCGGAUUUAUUGGGCGUAAAGCGAGCGCAGGCGGUUUGAUAAGUCUGAAGUUAAAGGCUGUGGCUCAACCAUAGUUCGCUUUGGAAACUGUCAAACUUGAGUGCAGAAGGGGAGAGUGGAAUUCCAUGUGUAGCGGUGAAAUGCGUAGAUAUAUGGAGGAACACCGGUGGCGAAAGCGGCUCUCUGGUCUGUAACUGACGCUGAGGCUCGAAAGCGUGGGGAGCGAACAGGAUUAGAUACCCUGGUAGUCCACGCCGUAAACGAUGAGUGCUAGGUGUUGGAUCCUUUCCGGGAUUCAGUGCCGCAGCUAACGCAUUAAGCACUCCGCCUGGGGAGUACGACCGCAAGGUUGAAACUCAAAGGAAUUGACGGGGGCCCGCACAAGCGGUGGAGCAUGUGGUUUAAUUCGAAGCAACGCGAAGAACCUUACCAGGUCUUGACAUCCCGAUGCUAUUUCUAGAGAUAGAAAGUUACUUCGGUACAUCGGUGACAGGUGGUGCAUGGUUGUCGUCAGCUCGUGUCGUGAGAUGUUGGGUUAAGUCCCGCAACGAGCGCAACCCCUAUUGUUAGUUGCCAUCAUUCAGUUGGGCACUCUAGCGAGACUGCCGGUAAUAAACCGGAGGAAGGUGGGGAUGACGUCAAAUCAUCAUGCCCCUUAUGACCUGGGCUACACACGUGCUACAAUGGUUGGUACAACGAGUUGCGAGUCGGUGACGGCAAGCUAAUCUCUUAAAGCCAAUCUCAGUUCGGAUUGUAGGCUGCAACUCGCCUACAUGAAGUCGGAAUCGCUAGUAAUCGCGGAUCAGCACGCCGCGGUGAAUACGUUCCCGGGCCUUGUACACACCGCCCGUCACACCACGAGAGUUUGUAACACCCGAAGUCGGUGAGGUAACCUUUUGGAGCCAGCCGCCUAAGGUUGAUUGGAUUA